GCAUGGGCGUGCAGCUCACCACCAACAACAUCAUCGCCGAGUACUUCUACGACCAGUUCGACCUCGACAUCCGCGUCGCCGGCAUCAUCGCCGCCUGCUUCGGCAUGGCCAACCUCGUGUCGCGCCCCCUCGGUGGCGUCCUCUCCGACCUCGGCGCGCGCUACUGGGGCAUGCGCGCCCGCCUCUGGAACAUCUGGAUCCUCCAGACCGCCGGCGGCGCAUUCUGCCUCUGGCUCGGCAGCGCCAAGUCACUGCCGGCCUCCAUCACCGCCAUGGUGCUCUUCUCCUUCUGCGCGCAGGCCGCGUGCGGCGCCACCUUCGGCGUCAUCCCCUUCGUCUCCCGCCGCUCGCUGGGGAUCAUCUCCGGCAUGACAGGCGCCGGCGGCAACGUCGGCGCCGGCGUGACGCAGCUCAUCUUCUUCACCCUGUCAAACUACUCGACGGGGAAGGGGAUCCAGAACAUGGGCAUCAUGGCAAUGGUGUGCACGCUGCCGCUGGUGCUCAUCCACUUCCCGCAAUGGGGGUCCAUGCUCCUCCCGCCCAGCGCCGACGCCGACGAGGAGCGCUACUACGCCUCCGAGUGGAGCGAGGAGGAGAAGAGCUUGGGACGCCACAGCGCCAGCCUCAAGUUCGCAGAGAACUGCCGGUCAGAGCGAGGAAGGCGCAACGCCGUGCUCGCCGCCGCGGCCACGCCGCCGGGCAACACGCCGGAGCACGUCUAAGAAGUAAUAUACUAGCUAGCUAUUACCGACCUGGCGACUUUACAUAUACACAUAAACACACAUGCGUGCAUGCGUUUGUACGGAUGCCCAUGCUUAGUAGAUGUAUAAUAUUAUUAAGGGGUCUUGAUCGAGAUGAGAGGGAGGACAUGUCAUAUAGCCUUUUAUUAGUUAUUAUCAUCGAUCGAAGCGUCAUAGAUUUGACUCUCUAGCAUCCAUCGGCCGCUGCCUUUUGACCAUAUGUGAUGUUGGUAACGCGCGUCAACUACUCUCUACCGUCUGAUGAUACUCCUAGUCCUAGCUUAUAACAAAUUAAACAGGUUUCAGCGACGUCUAAACCUUCCUUCCUCGACAAUGCAACAAAUAACUUUGCUUAUAAGCAUUCGUCCGUUUCUUUUGUGUGGCAAGUACAUACAGCAAAUAAUCAGAUACACAGAGCUAACAAUGCAUCAAACUUUGCUUAUAAGCGUUUGUCCAUUUCUUUUGACGAACGGAGAUCCUUUAUUCCUUUUGAUAGAUGCACUCUUCACUGUCUCUGCAUCUAUCAUUAGAUUCUUCAUCAAUUAUAUUUUCAUAGUAUACUAUCUUUAUAAUUUUCUCUAUAAAUUUGGUCAAACUUGAGAUACUUUGACUCUCCAAAAUUCUUGAAAUGACUUAUAAUAUAAUUUGGGAUGGAGGGAGUAUAUAUUAUUAUACUCCGUAGUCAGCCAUAGAAUAGUUAUUCUAUAGCUAGGUCACUUGGCAUGACAUGAUAGGCCAUCAUCAGGGUCCACGCGCGUUGCUGCCCUCUCGACCUAUACGCGAGCCACCACCGAGCGAGCGAGCCGAGGAUGAGCCGCAGGUCAUUACUACUAUAAUCAUUGUGCAUGGUCAUCAUUACAUUUUAAUCAACGCGGGUAAUUAAACUUCCGAUCUGGUCAAGAUCCCAACCAGGUUCUCCGUUCAAAAUACAAGAUACGAUCACGUAAUUAAUUCACGUUGUUUAGUCGUUUUGAUUACUGGAAUUCGAGUCCACAAUUGCAGGCGAGGAAGUGAACGAGUUACGAGAAUACAUGAACGUGGUUUGUAUACAAGUGUUCUGAUGAACGAGUUACAAAAAUGCCAGGACAAAUUUACCAUGUAAUUCUUACCAUAAUUUGAUUGGCCUGAGAUGAUAAUUACGACGGAGAGUUAUUAUAAUGACAAGAGUGAUUUAACAUGAAAUACUUACAAUAGUUCGAUUGGCUCGAGACAUAAUCUGAAUGGCGAGCUACCAAUUUCUUGCACAUUCUAUCUAGCACUGCAACACAUCACACAACUAGAAAUUGUGGCAAACACCAUCAGUCCCUUGCUUGCCGUAGUGCUAGGAAAGUCAAAUCAGAAGCAAUUUCGGGGAGAAAGUCUGGUUGACUGAGCAGAGUUCAGAAGCACGUUUUGAAUUGUCAAUGGGCAGAUCAUGGCCUGCUCAUGCCAGAAAGCAAGGAAACAAAACCUGAAUGGACAGGAUAGCAUGAAACCAUGAUCACUGACUAAUCUCAUUAACUAAAUUUAGGCAUACGCCACACCAAUAUAGUAUUCAGUAUAAUGGAGAUUCACAUUUUGGAGGAAAUACUUUCACAAUAUGCUCAUAUAGUUACAUGAAACGACCAUUUACUAUAUCUUUCACAGUUAUUGGUAGCUCUCGUGAUAUCUUUUUUCUCAUGUUGGGAUAACAAGCUCCUUUUUUUAUAACAGAACCGCUGAAAAAAAUCAAUUUUCAAUCUGCAAGGAUAAAAAAAUAGAAAAUGUUACUUUGAAAGAGUGAGACCUUAUUAACAACAAAUUAAUCUUAUGUAAAUUAUUAUGAUAAUCUUAUGUAAAGGAUUACUAGAAUCUGUAUCCCUUAUAUGCAAUUUACAAUAAGUUUGUAUUAAAUUUCAGAUAAUUACCACGAUGGCGUUAUCAAGUUACUAUGGGCAGUGUACAAAUUUGGUUUUGCUCUAUAGAAAGGCACGGUAAGAUGAAAAACGCAUUAUCAAUGUGCCAUGAUUAAGUUAGUACGUUACUAUAAAAUGAGGCCCAAUUAACUAGAAUCCAAUAUACUACAAUGCCUUCAAUAAAGUACCAGAACUCAUAUGAUAGGUUACCACAAUGGUAUCAUCAAAUUACUAGAUUGGAAUAUUAAUUUACUACAAAAGCAUUUACCAAAACAGCGUUGUCAAGUUACUUAAAAAGAUGACCAAUUUACCAGAAUUAAUAAUACUGGAAUUCAUGGGCAUAUGGAUAGAAUUCAAACAACAGAACCAAAGACAAGAGAGAAUAAGCAUUCACCUCAGCUGCUUGCUGAGCUUCCUGAAUACUUACGUAGCAGGCACGAAAAAACAGCCCCAUCACCUCCGCCCUGCACCAUGGACAAGACAACAAGCAGUUUGUGAAUGGAUCAGAGUGUAUAGGUCACAAGAAUUAGGAAAUGAACAACCCUGGAGAAUUCAUCUCCCUGAAUGUACACUCCUUAUAUACAUGUAGAGAAAACUACUGAACAUCUCCCUGAAUGUACACUUCUUAUACAUGUAGACUUUCCUUUUUCACAGGUAAAUUUGAAGGAAAUAAGCUCGCAGGCAUAAACGCAUAACAUAAUUUAUCUAUCAAAAGUAUAGUAAUAGAAACAAUUUGACGUAACUUUCAAACUAUAGCCAGGUGAAGUCAAGGUAAAUUUACCACAUGAUGUAUCAGUCAAAUUUGUAGUAACUGGUUGAAGUAGGAAAUACACAUAAGUCAGAAAAAUAGUAAAUUAAACAACUAAUUUUCCACUGUGCAGCAGGGCCAAUGAGAGGUAUAGAAAGUUUACAAGAAUUAUGUUAUGCAGCAUGGUAAUUUACUAUAAGGAGCCAUCAAAUCAUUCAAAAAUAUAUUUGUACCUACUAUCUAUGCAGCAUGGUACCUGAAGUAGUAAACCAACUUGUACGUGUACAGGUAAUAGAUGGAACCGGACAAAUAUGGGUGCUAUGCAACCUGCAGCUAUCUAAAGUCUAUUGAAUCAAACAAAAAUACAGAGACUUCCAUGAUAUCGUCGUUCAAAAGAUAGGGCUGCAUUGGGAAUUCGCAAUGCAACUCGGCUAAUCAGACAAAUAAAAAAAACUUCAAAACCAGGAAUGUGCAGUGACGCACUAAUCUCCAACCAAUGGGCAUAAUCAGUAGAGUGAACAAGGGAAGUAGAAUUACGUGAUGCUUACCUCAGGGUCUCUACGCUGGCUUGGAGUAGGAUGGGUUGAUCACCCAAAACCGAAGAACUCCUACAAGAACGCCGGCAGCAAUACAAGUACGGAUGGCACAGGUGCGAUACUGCUUCAUUAUCACAAACAUGGUGGCCUGGAUUUGAUCAGAAAUUUAGAAUUAAAAAAGAACGAUAUAAUUAUGUGAUGUACAAGAGCUUUAUAAAUAAUUUACUUGAUCUAAGUGAUUUACAAUAAUUCUGUAUUUAAUUUAAAAAGUGUGCACCAACAAUGUGGUAACUGUUUAUAUGAAUACCUUCAGAAAAAUGUCAUUUUUACCACAACUUCAUCACGUUACGUGACCCAUUAGUUAUCCUCUUACUCAUCAUCAGUAAUUUUAUUUUUGUAGUAUAACAGUAACCACCAGAAGUGAAUCCAUCUUGCACAUCUACAGGUUCAAGAACAAAUCCAGGUACCAGGGUUGCUGUUUCUGGGAGUGCAAGGCAGCAGCAACUAGUCAAUCCAGGUGAAAAUCGAAAAAAUGAAGCAUGUAUAACAAUGAUGCAUAGUAGGACUUACUGCACGAGAAAUGUCUGAAAAUUUACUAUAUAUUAGGAUCAGGAGGUACCACAAUUUUGUCAAGCUGUUCCAGGAAACCAUUUACUUUGUAAUGACGAGAUCAAUUUACCACAAAAUGCUACCUGAUAAUACUCAACUCUAAGUAUCAGGUGGCUGCUGCAUUUACAAGUUCUUUCAUUCAUAAUCAGGGUCCAUGUUACAACAAAAGGUCAAAUUUUGAAUUGAGUCCGUUAUACAGUUAAAAUUGUAACAAUCUCGCUCGGCCAGAUUGGCUCAAUUACAAAUGACAGUCUAUGAGCAAAUUACCUCAUGAGCACUAAAAAAUAGGUUUAGCUCUGGUCCUUUACUACAAUACUGAAAACCAGAAUAGGCCAAACAUCCUGUACGUCAAUUAACCAUUAUGAAUCUAGGCACUUUACUGAGAUAUGAAAUCAUUCACAUAUUUGGCAUCAUACUGUUCAUAGGCCCCAUUAAACCACGCAACAGUGUGAACAUACAGGUAGGUACUUAAAUCACGACUAUUGCAACAAAGCAAUGAUUAAUAUGGAAUCAUGAACCUCAGAAUCUUGUCUCCUCUACGGGCAUGGGGAGUGACGGCCCACCCUACACAAGAACGACGGCCGAUGCGGAGGGAUGUCGCCAACCAACGCAGGGGAACGGAUUUGAGAUUGGACUUCAGGUUGGAAUGAGGUCGCAUCUGCGGGAGGAUUUGGGGGAUUCCUAGUUGCGAUUGAAGGCAGAGAGUAUCCUGCUCAGGUAUGCAGUCAAACAAUUAAAAUAGAAAUGAAUUAAACAAAAACAAAUUAGUACGGACGAAUUUCUUCUCAAGGGGUGUUUGGGAGGAGGGGCUAAAAUUUUAGCCCCCGUCACAUCGAAUGUUUGGACACUAAUUAGGAGUAUUAAACCUAGACUAAGGGGGUNNNNNNNNNNNNNNNNNNNNNNNNNNNNNNNNNNNNNNNNNNNNNNNNNNNNNNNNNNNNNNNNNNNNNNNNNNNNNNNNNNNNNNNNNNNNNNNNNNNNUCCCGUGCCACCUUACCUGCCAUCACAUGAUCACAACAUGUACCCAAGCUAGCUAGAGCGAGUUGCCCCGGCUGUUUUGAACAUUGUUUUAAUGUAAAAAAAGUAUCCAGGUGGUAAUAUACCGGCUCUUGCACUUAGAACAAUAUGCAAGAUUCUUACUUGGAGAGCCUGCUUGCUAAUUUAUAUUUUUCCCUUUUUUAUAAAAAAUUUUAUAAAAAAACCAUGUUUCAUGCAAACAUGACUUGAAGGUAAUUAAAAUGGAAGAUAACAAGUGAGUGAGGCAGACAUGAAGAUAGCAAGGCUCCACCGUCUUGUGCAUGGUGCCACCAAAACCUUCCCAAAGGUUGCUGCCGAUGUGGUGGAUGCAAAUUUGGUUGAAGAUCAUGGUCGUAGGUUGAGAAGGCCGAAUUCCAUAGUGAGGGCCUCAUGGCGGGCUGUCUGUCACCGACAGACACGCCUCUCGUGCGGCCCACUUGUAGAGCCCACUGAUUUGAGAAGCCACGUGCGGGCCGCCCGCAGAUUCGGAGCCUUCCUAGUUCCUCCGCCGCAGCCCAAACACGACCAGCAGCCCAAACACGGCAGAACGAAAUCCCCCUCCCCUCUUCCUAGUCGUAGCGCGACGGACGGGAUGCUCAGUACUCGCUCAAGAGCGCAAGCGUGUCGGGUGGAGGCGGCGCGCGGAGCAGCAACCCCGGCGACGGCAGCGGUGUCGGAGGAGGAGGAUAGGAUGGUGGUGCUGGUGGUGGCCACCACCAAGGACCCGGCGUCCAUCGGCCCCGCCGCCGCCUUCCUCGCCAUGCCCGGAUGGUCCCCCGGCCCGCCCAUCGCAGUAAGUCGUUCCCCCUUGCCCCCUCCCAAUCUCAUUCAUCCGCCGCCGCAUGCGUGCGUCCUCUCGAUUUACUCCAUCCAUCUGGUCUAUCUCCUACUAUAUCGUACUGACCCCCGUCCAGUACGCAUUAGCUAGUGGCACAAAACCCAAGUAAAUUUUGGCGGAAUUGGAUCGCUCAGAUAAAUGGAGUAUUCAUCAUCUAUCUAAUGAAAGCAAGUUUGAUUUGAUAAAAUUAAGUCAAUAGCAGCGCAAGUUUGACGUAGAAAACAGAUUACACCACGCGUCGCAUAUGUUAGCUUCUGUCUUAGCAGUGCAAGUCAAUAACACACUGCUAUAGGAGAAGUGAGCAGUUCCGGUGGUCAUGACUUCCUGACCUUUACUGGGAUUCCGUGUGGUAUUCUUUUGGAGCUGAUCCGACUCAGGAGAUAGGGAGAGGACCAAGCAUAUUCAUUCACAUUUUUACCCCCUUUUAAAUUUUGUGCUAAGGAAGGCAUCCAACAGGUGUUGGCUGACAUUUUGCGGUUCUUCAAACAAUUUUGGGUGCUCUACCAUGGUUCCCACUUAAUUUUUGCCCAAAUCUGUUUUGCAGGAAGGGAUGGAGAGUUUUACUAAUGGGAAUGUUCGGUUAUUGAAGCAUGAACACAGCAUUAUUGAAGAGGAUAAUCUUGACCAGCGAUGGCAGGAAGCCACUGGAGAGCCUGUCUCCGAGGUCAUAUUCCUCAGCAAGCACACUGCAGUCUCCAACCGUCCAGCACUCACCGUGCAUCCAAUUGGUCCGUUCUUCUUUCAUGUGUGACCUCAUUUAAACCAAUGCCAAGGUCAAAUGCUUGAUGUUUUUGUUGUUUCUUGUUGAACACCAUUUGCUUCACAAGAUGUCUUAUAUAUCUAUGGAUAGUGAACUGUGUUAUAGCAUACAUGCAAUUCAUUAUGUUCCUUUUUCUGGAAACAGUGGAAUCCAACAUAUUCGGUAAUAGUCUUACAUGUAUUGUUAGGGCAAAGUACAUUGGUGUCGUCUAAUAGACGGUCUCAUGCAUUGACACGUAAUCUUGAGACGAUUUAACAGGCAACCUGUACAAUGGGUUGCCCUAUAAGUUGUCUGGUAGUGCUAUAUAAUUCCUUAAUUUGUGCAUAAGAAAAAUAAAAUAUUAUGAGUUGCAUGGCAACAAUAACUCGUACAAUGGUUGUUAAGUUGUCUUGUAGUCCUACAAUUUAGCUUAUGAGGUGGUUGUUUCGCGAAGCAACGACCUCUUUCUCUCUCCUCGCUCUCUCUCCUCCACAUCAUCAAAUAUCCUACGUGGCACUGCAUGGGAUGACCUAUGAGACCGCUGACGUGUAGCAAUGUACUUGUCCUUAUGAUUCCGUUUUCUAGUUAUAGCAACAUGUUUCUUGAACAACAUGCAAAUACAUAUAUUGGAAAUUUUCUUUUUAUCAACUGCCUAAGUGCUUUAUUAAUGUACAUGUGUUCUUACUGGUAAACACACAUAUAAAGGUGUGCCACAUCUGAGGGAUGAUGAAACCCCACCCCAUGGAGGGACUCCUGGAUGGGCAGCAAUUCCAAAUCCUCGAAUUGGCCCUUUGCUCCGGUUGAUGCAAAAGAUUGCUGCAGAACAAGGUCUUGUUCCAGAGUUUGAGGUAGUUUGCUCCUCGUCAGUGACCCAUAUCUUUUUCAGUCAACUGAUUUUAAUUAUGACUGCUUAUGAAGAUUACGCUUGAGGCUACUCACCAUUACAAGCACGCCCACCAUGUUUGUUGAGAUAGGUACAAGCUUAUGUCCAUAGCCUUUUUUUGUUUCUUGAAUGUCAUCAUUGCCCAACUUCUCUUUUUUGCUAUGGCCCCUUUUGAAAGUUCAUUUUAUGUUUCCAGAAAAGUCCUACAAUUAGCUUAGCAACCUCUUAGAAAAUAUAGGGCCAUCUAUUAGAAAAUUCCAGCCUUGGAAACCCAAAAGGACAUCUAUUUACAAACGAAAAUCUAACUCUAAAAUGACAUUUAUAUACAGAACGUAGAUUUUCAAGAUCAAUUAUUCACAAUGAUCUGUAUCCAGUUGUUCCUUUUUUAGUUGUGUCAACAUAUGUUUAUAUGGUUUGCACAAGGUAUAUGUAAUGUGUUUUUUUGUUCUUUUGAGCUGGAAGAGUUUGUUGCUACAUUACGUACAUAUACAAAUCUAGGUAACAUAAAUAAGGCCACAUCCUCCAAAAUUCACAAAUAAGACGUAGUUAACUUAAGCAUGUGAAAUUUUAGAAAGAGAUGGUGCUUAUAACAUGGACAGGAUGGACAAGAUGCAAGCAACCAGUCUUUUGACUCCAUCUGAUCAACCUUUUCAAAAGCGCAUUGAGUUUAUGCGAACUCAACUCAAUAUAGCUCAGCGCACCAAUCCUGCAGCUACAUUAAUAGGCAUACCAUUUGGUUCUACACUACCAUCUUAUGUGUCGGAUCUGAAAUUGUUAACUUCAAUAUUUCAGACUGCUAUAAAUAUCCAGGAAGUGCGGGGGUAGACAAGAUGCUGCACAGGCAAUUGCUCUAGUGAGUUCUCUCACUCCCUCCCUCCCUCAGUAUUGGCCAACUAAAUAUUGUUAUUACUGUCUUACCUUUAGCUAGAAUGUUAGCUUUUAAUUGUUCUUUCAGAAUGCAACCUUUGUCAGGAACAUGCAAUUGAGUUUUCAAUACUUGCAGGUUCUACGGAAAGGUCUUGGUCUGGAGGAUGGAAAUGCUGUUGGAAGUUGGCAGGGGUAUGUCAAUAUGCAUUUCUCCCCCCUUGUGUGAUGUACAGUGGCAUCGAUGGUGAUUUUAUCAGAUCAGAAUCUAUAUAAAGUAUUAUCCUCAAUGGAAUGUAGGAUAGAACCUAGGUACUGCACAUUGCUACAAACUACUAGUGAUACUAGCACACCGACCAGAUACCAGAGUAGAGUUGAGUCAGUAUCAUUGUAUAUCAUUGGGAGAUGAAGAUGGGUUGCAAAUUGAAAAUACAAGUGCCUUCCCUUUAGCUCCAUCUAUAACUGUAUAACUGGUCUCAUUAGGUGAACCAGGGUUCACAAAUAGAUUUCUCUUCUUUAGUCAAGAUGGCAAAGGUGUUGACUAGAUCAACUGAAAUUUGAGUCUGAAUUGUGGAUAACUUCGUUUAAAAACCAAAAGUGGAAUACCAUUUGCUCCCUAUUUGUUCAUUAUAAAAUGGAAUGGGACAGAAUAUUUGCAAGAGGAUAACAUCAGGGGAGAACCCUAAUGAUUUUUUUAUUAAUAAUCGUAACCGAAAAGGUUCUCCACAUAUGAGCAUUUUUGCGAUUGUAUCCACCUAAUUUGACUUUUCUUUUUCUUGUAAGCAUUUAUUUGUUACCCUCUCACUCACCUUUUUUUCUUUGUUUAUUUAAGCACACGAAAAAAACUCAUUUCUUGUUAUGCAGGAAUAGUGAAAAGGUUCUACUAGGUAUAGGAGGUGGUCACUAUGCUCCUCGUCAUAUGGAUAUUGUCAAGUAAGCACAGAGAUGAAGUUAUUCUUGAAGGCAAUUUCUAAUUAUAUGUUGUCUCCCCAUAUAUUUUCCUUUACUUAUGUUAGCACUCGUAUGUUAAAAAGACCAGCAUACUUUACUUUCUGCCAGUGAGGGGAAAACCAAAUUCUGAUGCUAUAUUUUCUUCAGCUACUUCCAGAUCUUUUGAUGAAAUAACAAAUUUACAUGAGUGCACCAGAAGGUCUUGUCUGUCCCUAGAAGUUGUCAGGAGAAGCCCAUUGAUCAGCAUGCCAGGCAUUGGCUUUUUAUUACUAUAGUAUUGUACUAGAGUAAAUGUGGAAGUGUAGACAGGUUUGUAGCAAAUAGAACAAUAUAAUGCUAAUUAAUGAAAAAAUAUUUUGAUCUAAAACUGUUUUUUUAUGGCAUGUGAUACUAGAUAUAGAAAAACCUGUGAUCUAUCUUUAUCUUUUAUAGACUUUGAUUUAAGGGUAUUUUGAUGUACUUGAGGAAUACCUAUAUUUUAACAGUCACAUUCUGAAAAUAUUUCAGCAAAGAUGGUGUAUGGGUGGGUCAUUUACUCUCUGGUUACUCCUUGCCGAUGGAAACUCCAUCCCAAAUAAAUGGAAAGACUUCUGGAGAGGUUGCUGGAAUGUGGAAGCACUCCAUCAAAGUUUCCUAUGAAGCCACAAAGGCAGCAUUUCCUGGUGGUGAAGUAAUUGCACAUCUUGAUCACAAGUACGUUUCUUCACCAGUUUGGUACAUCUAAUCUGUAGAAGAUGCUACUUCAUUGCAUUCGUUUUUUAGCUUAGUCAUUGUAAUUUUGGAUUGCGAACCACCUGUACAUAAUUUUGAGUUUAAUAAUGCCAGUUCCAUAAAUUGACAUGCCUAGUGCCAUCAACUGUAGCAUUUUUAUGUGCGUCAAGGCUAUUAGCGGCAGCUUUGGAGCUAAAAGAAUAUCCGUCAUGGACUCAUGGAAAUUCAGAUUCUGACUAGUUAAAACUUAAAACACCAUCACCGCUUACUUGACUGAAAAUAAGCAUAAUAGACUUGGCGUCUUGACAAAGGGGCUCUUGAAGUCUAGUUCCUUGAUAUAUUGUUAUUCUCUAAGAAUGUUGAAUGUUAAAACAAUGAGUUGUUUACCUUUUUUUGCCAACACUGAAAAGUGGUACCACUGAUCCAUUUCUUAAAAAAUGAUAAUCUUGGUUCUUGAUCGUUUGAAUUUCUAACUACUGAUAUUAACAGAAAAAGAUCAGAAGCGCUUACUGUUGCCAUUGGUUCUUCCACACACAUUUCGUAGAGUAAAACAGCGGAUGGGUAGUCAAACAAAUGACCACAUCUGACAAGAACAAGAAAAUGUCACAAGACUUUCAUAAUGAAAAUGUCAGAAGAGCUUCUAAAGGGCAUCUUACAUCCAACCAAAAGAUGCAGUGCCUUCGUCAGAAGUAUGAGUACAAUUUAUCGUCCAGAACUCUUCAGGUUCGUGAGCUUGAAUCUCCCAGAAACGCUCAACAAUGAAUCCUAGCGUCGGAAACUGCAAUGUAAUGAAUUUUUAGACAAAAUAAAGAAUGAACAUGCAUGUAAUAGGUUUUAUGAAUUCCUUGACAAGGGCCAUAGCUCAGAACUAAAUUCCUGUCAUCCCCAGUGACAUCAAUUACAAAUGAAUCUUUUAACAGCAUUGUUUGAAACCUUGUGAAGGAGGCACCAAUGCGAAGGUCAAUUUCCUGUACAAAGUUUCUUAUUACUUCUCUGAGCUUGAAAAUAACAAUGAAGAGGUAAAUGCUGAUAUAUUUGAGACAAUAACAUAGACAGAGGAAAUGUACUAGCAAAUCAGCUGCUUUGGAUCUUUGGUUUUAUGUAAAGCUAUCAUACUAGAGGAAACAUGCAGCAAAAGUUCACCAUGGAGCUCAAUCAGAUAGAGUACCAUGCAUUUUAAAUUGGUUGCUGGUUGAAAGUUGUAGCUCGAGUACAUGAGAUAAGAAUCACCUGUCUUGCAUCCACAGCAUCUGCAAAGAGUUUGUUGGGUCUGCCGAGAUGUUGCACAGAUUCAUGUAUUUCCCUGCAGUUUCAUUAUGUUUUUUAGACAAACCAAUGGGCAUGGGUAUGACAUCCUUGCACUAGAGGGAAAGAGACCAUGCGUAGAAACCAAUACCUGUCAAUCAAAGCUGAGAAACGAGCCCUCCAAAUGUUAAGAUGACUGUUGGCACCUGUACAAACAUCGAUCACUUCAUAUGCUAUGUUCUCACCCUCUCUGUCACAAUCAAGCCAUAGCACCAGCCACUGGCACCUCCUAGCUUCUUCUUCCAAAGUUUGUUUUAUGGCUUGCUUGUCCUGCAUUUUGGACGACCAAAUUCAUGGAUAGAAUUCAAGUACAAAUAAACCAUGGAGUUACACUAACAUCGUGACAUGAAAACGAUUCAUAUCUAUGAAGAAAAUAAUCCCAAUAUGUGCACAACAGGACAGCCAAAGACAGGUAAUUAAACAAAUUUAUCCAUGCAGAAAGAGAGGAAAAUUACAGGAAAGAAGUAAGAAAAUGACUGAUUGUGUCAUCAUGAAGAACACCAAGCAUUCUGUUAGCAUCCAAUCCACGGCCAGCUAUACUAAGGUGGCUGAGUAUGCCCUGAGCUGCAUGAUUGGUGCAAAUCAUUGGGUGUCUAGUUGAAUCUCUCCUUUUUAGCUUUUUAUAUUUAUUAUCUGCAUGCGAUGCAGUUGUUCUGAGUUAUGAUCAUAUCACUAUAGGCUAAAACCUGCAAGGUCUGUGUGUCAAAUCAUUGCAUCAAAUAAUAUUCAAUCUCUAUGUAACUAAGCAAAGGCCUGAGGAUUACUCUACCAAAUGGACUGAUCUGCAGUUUUCAUGCAACUAUCACGCAACCCUCAGAUCGACUCCAAAUAUCAGAGCUCAUUUUGUGCGGCAGCCACAUGAUACUGUACACAGCAAAACGCCAAGCACGCUGUUGGACAGAAUUCCCACAUCAGCGCAUUCGCAAAUGCGAAGCACAGCAUUACAAUAACACUGCAGGUGCCUGCACGAGGACUGUAAGGCACCAUCACAACCGUUAGAAGCCCACGCACCAACUAAUCGAUCCCGAACCGCCCACAGCGACGCGCUCACCAGCUGUUCGGCGAAAUGCACGUGCGGCACGGAGAGGGCGAGCGGCAUACCUGGGGCACGGACUUGCGGACGGGGGCGUGGAAGAGGUCGGCGGGGUCGCAGGAGUGCCAGCGGCGGAACCGGUCGUCGAAUUCGAGCUCCAUGAGGUGGCCCGUGACGGAGGUGACGAGCAUGCGGCAGGCACGGCCGUUGAUAAGACGUGGUUGUACGGGGACCGCCCCGCCGCGCGACAGGAUCUCCGCCACGUUCAGCACGCGGAUCGCGCCGCCGCCGCCGGGCUGCAUCGCGAAACAGGGGAACCGGUGGAGAGAGGGCCGCAAGGGGCGGGAGGUUUUGAAAUUUCCAGUUUGGCGGAGCGGUUCUGGCAUUUCACCUUCACCCCGUUCGGCACCGCGUUAAGCCGCUGCGGCUUCUUUUUCCAGCUGCGGCUUAUCAGCGGACGCCGUUCGGAUGGCUUCCGCUGCUAGUCACGAGCGGAAUCCGUUCGUAUGUAGGUAACGCCGCACCGACACCCCGACGCGCCAGUGCCUCCCUCAUCUCGCUCCCUCCGUCACUUGCUCCCCACCGAGCGUCGCUCAGCAGAUCCGCCGCCGCGGCUCCCUCCGCUCCCCGCUCCGUCCACGCCCGGUCUGCGCCGCCAGCGGGCCCUCGGCGUCCGCGCUCCGUCGCGCUCGCCCGCCGCUCCCUCGCUACCGCGCGCUCCCUCAGUUCCUCGCGCUCGCUCCGCCGCUCCCUCGCUGCCGCGCGCGCCCCGCCACCGGUGAGGCGUGGAGUGGCGCUCUCCCUCCCUCCAAUCCGCCCGGGCGACCGCGCCGUGGAUCCCGCUGGACGCCCCCUCCGUCCCUCGGUCCGGAUCCGCCGCCGCCCGUCCCUUCGGAUCCGCCGCCGCAGCUCGGAGCCGGCGCACGCGCCGCCGCCGCCGGUGGGUCAUCGGGUGGAAGGACCGUCUCCCGCGCCGUCGCCCCCUGCAUCCCCUUCGCUCACAGGUAUGGAUGCUACCCCAUCCGUAUGCCGCUAGGUGCAAAAAAAGUGUAAAAUGGUUCCUGCUUUUAGACAUGCUGCUGGGCAACUGACUUGUUUGAGUAGAUUAAUCAAGAAUAUAGAAUGUCAAGUGCAAUUGUGAGAUCUUGCAAUUUUUUUGUGAAGACGCAGGAGAAACAGACCUUGCAUUUGGAGCUUUCAGUUCUAAAGCUGCAGCAGGGCUUAUCUUUUUAAGAUGCAUCUUCAUGGAAGAGCUAGUGAAUUUAGGUUCCAUCAAUGUUUGCCUCAACAUAUUGAAGUUGUGUAUUAGUUUAUUUUUUGUGUCUGCAAAGGUUAAAACUAUCAGCGCCAUUUAUUCAAUGUACAUGAAAGAUAUCAACUGUAAGGGGCAAGUCAUAUGGAUUCUUUAGAAUUAACACCUUAGCAGAAACUUGGUAUUCCAAAUUCAAUUCCAGUUCCCAUGUUGAGCUUAGUUUCUUUAAUCUUGUGGAUUCUUUUCACCACAGAUAUGUGUAAUCUGCCUAAGUGGCCUGUACAUCCACCAUAGUGAACCUAGGUAGCAUAAAACUCUUAUGUUCAUUUAACAAUAUGAUCUCAACAUUAUGUCAAUCUCCAAAGUCUGAAUUGCAUUAGAAUUUAGAACUGAAUGGGUGGUAUGUUCCUGAAGAUGAGAACCUCGAAAAAAGUAUUGUAAAUUAAGUAAUUCAUUUUGGUUAUCUAGGUAGCCGUUGAACCAUGAUCUUUUAUGUUGUUCCCAUGUACAUGUUAUCGACCUUUUGUGGUCUGAUGCAGAACUUGGCCAUUGAUUUAUAGCAAACAAAGAAUGGUAGCUAUCCAUUCUAGGUCAAUAUGAAAGUGUUUUGGGAUGGCAGGAUCCACUUUAGGUAAUUGUCAACCUUCAAUGAUCAGUAAGUCAUUGUUGAUCAGUAGGAUGCCAAAAAAAAAAACCCUUGUCUGUCCUACUGAUCAAGAAUUCAUUGUCCUGAUCCUGCCUUUGAACAAAAAAAAUGUGGUGUACCCAAACAUCAAGUCUAUGCAACUCUUGAUGCUACUGUCGUCUAAGUUAUGUCCUUUAUCUGUAUUUUACUCUAGUGUUAUCGAACAUGCAAGAUUGGAAUAGCAACUGUUUGCCACUGAUAGUCGAAGAUGCAAGCUGAAUGUUACAUUGUGCUGACCUUCUGAUUUUUUUUGUAACCUUUCAGGCUUGAGGAGGAAGGGUGCAAGGACCACAAAUCUGAGGCACAUUCAAAGGUGCCCACACUGGCAUCGUCAUCGACUGGGUCCUGCUCUCCUCCCCCCGUGUGCCCGUACAAUUUUCGUCACAAACGCCACAAAGCACCUGCUAAGGCAAGUAACAAAUUCUUCAUUUUCCAUUGCUUAGUUGUGUACGUAGGUCGUAGUUGUCCAUAGAUCGGUGCCAUAUAAUUGCAGCUACUGUGUGGUCAGAUGAGUAACCGUGCCAGCUGGGAUGUGCCCACGACAAAAAUUUUGCUGGAGAUGUGCAUUGAACAAAAGAACCAGCUAAACUGGAGCGACAGAUGCCUCACUAAGUUGGGAUGGAGGAAUGUCCACUCCAGGUUCAAGGCAGCAACUGGAUUGCAACUGGGAAUGAAGCAGCUGCAGAACAAGCUCAACAACUUGAGGAGGCAAUUCUUCGGCUGGCGGGCAUUGGAAACCUCGACUGGUUUAGGGCGCGACACACAAACUGGUGGGGUGUCGGCUGAUGCCACGUAUUGGGAGCAGGACCAACAGGUAGGGACUUUCCGUCGUCCCUAACUUACUGAUCGUCAUACUUGUAAUUUAUUACAUUUCCAAUACUGAUAUUUUACUUUUAUGCGACUUUGCAGGACACCCAGGCGAGGUCACAGCCGCAUUCUGUGAAGCCUCCACCUUUGCUGGACCUGCUGUUCGAGUUGUUUGGCCACGAACCACAAGACAGGGGCACAUUGCUUUCGGCCGGAGGGAUUCGGGAGGACACACCUAGCAUGGGGGGCACACCUAGCAUGGGGACUGAGGGCAAUUUCGUGGACUUGGAGGACGAGCAGGCCCCUCCUAGUAGUGCUCGUUUCAGUGCUCCUGCCAAGUCAAAAAGGCCGGUCCGAGAAUACUCAGUGGACAGUCCCACCAAAAAAAGAAGUGACAACUUGGAGCAGUACAUUAGGGACCUAUCUGAUAGUGUGGCCAAGCGAAGCCUGCUACGUGGGCCGAGUGGCCAUGAACAAACAAAUCGUUGUCUUCAGAUCCUAAAAGAAGAUGGUAUAGAGCAGGGGUCGGAGCUUCACAACAAGGUCAUGUAUUGUUGUGGGCAGAGUUCGGAUUGUCGGUCCACGUUCUUAGGGUUAGACACAAAAGAUGCCCGAUUGAGUUGGAUCAAUUUCUACUGGAACAUGAUGCAGAAGAAGUGAUGGUGGCCUGGUUCUUUCUUAGCUUAGUUGCACUUGUGUUGUGUUGAACAUUGAAUGUAGCUUCUGUAAUUUUAAGAUGAGGUUGAACAUUUCUAUGUGCACUUUAUGUUCUGGUGUAUCUGAAUGUCAACCAAUUCUAUUAGUUAGUUGUUAAGUUGCUUAUGUUAAUGGUUGUUUAUGUUAGUGGUUGUUUAUGUUGCUAAGUUACUUUGAAGUUAAGUGCCAGUCAAUUUUUUGUGCAAACUAGUUCUACCUGCUCUCGGUAUACAUAACGUUGUUCACCUUGUCUUAUAAGCUGUGUUUUCAUUUUGGACAGGUAUUUAAAGUAUGAGUGCUCCAGAGGAACACAACAGUGACACCGGCAGCGACAGCAGCUCCGUGUUUGAUAUGAGAUGUUUAGGAGGAGCUGCAGCCGCAUAUGAGGAGCUUCGCAGCAUAAAUCGUGCUAGACGGAACCGACCUGUCGACUUGCCAGUUGAGCUGCCACGCCUGACGGGUCGGCAGUGGGUGGAGCUGAACCUCCGGGACAGGAGGCGGUGCUACGACAAUUUUCGUAUGUAUCCCGACACGUUCCUUCACUUGCACGACGUGUUGGUUAGCAACCAUGGGUUGACAACGUCGCAAGGGGUAGAAUCCGUUGAGGCGUUAGCUAUGUUUGUGUGGGCAUGUGCGACACAGCAAGCGUGCCGGCAGAUUAGAGAAAGGUUUGACCGGAGUCUGGACACGGUGAGUAGGAAGAUGGCGCAUGUGGCGAAUGUAAUGUAUUCGUUUGCCCAGCAAGUCAUCGCUCCAAAGGAUAGAGCGUACUCGACGGUCAAUCACAAGCUGACCCAAUAUGCACCGUUCUUUGAUGGGUGCAUAGGUGCGCUUGACGGUACGCACAUUCCAGUAAUUGUCGGCCGUGAGUCCCGUUUGGAUUUCCUAAACAGAAAAGGAUUCACAAGCUUCAACGUGCUAGCCAUAUGCGAUAUGGACAUGCGUUUCACGUACGUAGGAGCUGGCAUGGCAGGCUCAUGUCACGACAUGGCGGUAUUGCGUGACUGUAUGUCGGCACGGACGUACCCACAUCCACCUGCAGGUAUGUGACUUAUAAGAGUGGCACAUGUAGAUUAAUCAAGAAAAUGUGGUGCACUAAUGUUGAUUUGUUGUGAUUACCUGCAGGCCACUAUUAUUUGGUCGACUCGGGGUACGCCGUUCGCGAAUGGUAUCUGGGCCCGUAUAGAAAUACCAGGUAUCACCUCGAGGAGUUUAGCAGAAGGGAGGCCGACACAUUGGAGGAAAAAUUUAAUUUUCACCAUUCCAGUCUUCGAAAUGUGGUGGAACGCGCCUUCGGUGUCCUGAAAUCGAGGUGGCACAUUCUGCGGGAAGUGCCACUAUAUUCGAGAGAACGACAAACCAAGAUUGUUAUUGCUUGCUUUGCACUGCAUAAUUAUUUGUUGGACGUUGGCAAUGACAGUUCUGCAGGAUCGUCGAGGGCGCGAGAACCGGACUAUGCGGUGUCCGAAUGGGUGGCAGCUAAUGCUACACCUGAUAUGGGCAGUGUCCGAGAUUGGAUUGCUGCGGGCAUCUCGUUGAUGUAGACGCGGGAUGUAUGUGUGUAAAUCAUGUUGUAAUUUGUAUGUACGAAUUUGUAAUAUGUUGUGUGUACGUUCGUAAGCUCGAGUGUGUUUGUUAUGUUUGGCGCGCACCAUUUAGAUACUGUAGUUGCAUUAACCGCUACAAAAUUUAUUUUUGAACGUAGUAGCGUAUCAGUACGGAAACCACUUUGGAAAUUGGUAAGGAUAAGUCGUUACCGCUCUCUCGCUCGUUUCGGUACAGGAACAAUUUAAUUUCUGUUUUUUAACAACCUUAUAUUUUACAAGUAUGAACAAUUCUAUUAUUAUUUGUAGUCCCACACAUUUUAAUUGUUUCAUUUUGUAAAAAUUUGAGUUGCAACCGGACUAAAUUUAACCUUGCAACUAAUGUGGCCCAAACGGCCCAUUAGCACGCACACCCGGCGGGCCAACAAACGGCCGUUACUAGCGGCGGCACCAGCAGCAGCUGCAGCGCUACAGCAGCAGCUGCAGCGCUACAGCACCGGCUGCGGCAGCCAGCAGCCGCAGCAGCGGCUUAACGCGCUGCCGAACGAGGUGCUUUUGUUUUAAUGUAAUAAUUGGGCUGGGCUUUGCAGCUUAACGGGCCCAUCUGGAUAGAUAAGGUUAUGGGCUUCAUGUGGCCUUCUCAGAAGCUUAACGGCUCUUGAUGUUUUAAUAAGAAAAAAACUUGCAAAAAAGUCUUAAAUAGCAUGGCAAAAUCUUAUUUUACAUGAGAAAAAGGCAUUGUGGAAGAGAGUUCCUUUCUGUGAACUUGUUCACGGCGAGUCGACGAGGUCAACCAUGCUAAAUAUCCCACAUGGCACAACUGUUGAACGCGUGAGCCUCAAGGAAACAAAACGCAUAUGCUCCUAUAUAGUGGUACGGCAUCUUAAAUUUGAUACAAAACUUCACAAGAUACCAGAAUGCCAUCUAUGUUGUUCCAAAGAAAACAAGUUCUGCCCUUGAUUCUCAUUCUCAUCCUGGUCCUGGGAGCACAAGCCACCACCAUCGCUGCAUCCCGGGUGCUGAGAGAGAGAAAUCAUGGCCGCAAUAAUCCUGGUGGAAGAUGCCCUCACCCAUGAAGAUUUCUUCAAGGCAUGUGCAGUUUUGAUACAAUGUUCUUUUAUCCAUUUUUCCCAUUCAAUAUUCUUUUGGCUGCUCUUCUGGAGCUCGGACUGGAGGGGACGGGCAUGUUGAGUACCCGGUCAAUUUUCUAUCUUUUUUUCUGUGCAGCAGUUUUUGCUUAGCCUGCAUGUAAACGAUGGUGUAAGUUUGUAUAUGUGACAUUUUGUACAUAAUCUGUUCACUAUUGCUGUUGGUAUGAGUGUAUAACUGAUGAAAAAUAUAUACUGACAUCUUUUUUGAAUGGUUCGCUCUUCUUACCAUGCCUAGUUUCACAUGACAUCCUAGGUUUGAUUUUUAUGAUCACCCUAGCCGUAAAAAUAUAUUAAAUUUAGUGAAGCUAUUUCAAGAGCAAGAGGAUGUUGUUUUUGGCGCUAAAAGAAACAUCUUAGAUGAAGCAGUGUUUCAAGGCAGAGCAAUGUUUCAAGGUGCAUGGUCAGUAUGUAACAAAUUAUUGGUAACAAAGAAGUGCAGCACUAGAUUUGUGUGUGUGUUGGGGGGGGGGGGGGGGGAGCAAUUUUUUAUUGAUCCUUCUGUUCCUAACCAAGGGUUCAAUUGAGAAGAUAUGAUUCAGUGCAAACAAGUAUCUUCGUAACCAAGUGACAUGUCUAACUUCUUGAAAUUUUACCCGGUUGUGGACACUGUAGGCCACAGUUGCAGUUCGGACACUUCCAUACUUUGUGUAGUCUCUCGCGCCAAGGAAUGGAGUUUCAGUGCUCUCCCCUUUUUCUAGAUCUGCCCCUGAACAGAAACGAACCAAUCGAAGCGUAAAAUGAAUUUUGCAACCAUAAGGACAGAUGAUGUAAAAAAGAGUCAUUAACUGACAACAUACUCGAUUAAGAAGAUUUUCUAUACUUCUGUGCAACAUUCCUGGGCCUUGGUGCAGAAAACACUCCCACAAUACAGAGUUCCCAUUGGAGAAAAGUUCCUAAGACAAUCGUCAGGGUUAGAACAUGACGGUACCAUGUCACAAACCAUGUAGAAGGGUAAAACACUAAAAAAGGCCAAAAAGAAAUAAUUAUUUGUGCCACUAAUGUCACUUGUACAGAUAACAAGGUCCUGGUAAAGGACAUGGUUUGUCAAAUCGUACACAGAUGAAAAUACCAGACAUCAUUUCUCAUUGUUGAUUCCACUACGACGAUAAGCAGAAGGGUUAAGCAAAAAUAGAUAUUGUUUCAAGGCUCGAUGCUAAGAUUUCUCAUACUCACCUUCAACGCCUUGAAUUUACUAUGUAUGUUGAGGCAAGAAUUCCAAAGACACUGGCAAAAGUACAAUGCCAUUACCAGCAUCUCUCAGAAUUUGUCAUCAGGGGCAUAUCCUCUAUGAAUCAUUUCAUCAUGAAGCUGAAAUGCCUCCUUCGAGUUGCCAGCUGCAACAUGACCAUUAAUCAUAGACAUGUAUGUAUAUCUAUCCGGUUCAAUUCCUCUCUCACCCAUUUUCUUGAAAACCCAACCAGCUUCUUGCACAUUGCCAUGUUCAGAAAACCCGUUUAUGAGCAUAUUAUAUGUGACAACAUCUGGGUACCAUUUCCUUCUCCAUUAUGUUAAACACAUUGAAAGCUUCGUCCAUAUUUUCUUCUUUAACAUAACCAUGGAUCAGGGUGUUGAAAGCAAUUAAAUCUGGCAAUAUGUUGUCUUGCCUCAUCUUUUGCAAAAACUGCUGCCCCUUUCUUACGUUACUUGACCGGCAAUAACCCUUGAUAAUGGAACUGUAGGUCAUGAUGUUUGGUACAAUACCUUUAUCAACCAUUUCAUCCAAAAAAACGGAAUGCAUCUCCAACUUGUCCCUUCUCACAGUGGCUGUCUAUCAGGAUGCCGUAGGUAACAUGAUUGAGGAAGAUUUCCCGAGCAUGCAUAUCAUCUCAUAGCUCAUUAGCUUUGGCCGGAUCGCCUUUUCUGCACAUCCCAUCAAUCAAACUAUUGUAUGUCACAACAUCUGGCCUCAAGCGCUGGUGCAACAAUGUGUCAAACAAUUGCAAUGCUUUCUCUAUAUCACCAUCCCUACAGUACCCAUGAAUCAAAGUUGUGAGUGCAUAAAUCUGGUGUAACCCCUGUCUCCUUCAUCUUAUUCGAAAGCUCCUCAGCAUCAAGCAACUUGCGCUGCUUACAAAGACCACUCAACAGGGUAUUGUAAGUGUCGGAUUUAGAGGCCCGGCAGUCCACAAUGGAGCUACCCAAGUGAUUGAUUUGUAGGAGAGUGGAUCGUGAAACUAAAAACUCGGUGGUGACCACGAGAGCACAAAGGAGUGAGUUUAUACAGGUUCGGAUCUCCGGAGAGUAACACCCUACAUCCUGUUUGUGGUGGUAGUUGUAUUGCUCAGAGAUUUGAAUGAACGCCCCCUCGGGAAGACGCCCUAGGCCGCCUUAUAUAGCCCGACAGUCUAGGGUUUACAAGUCGGAUUGCAUCUAAUUCUAGUCGGUUACAACAUGGAAAGCAAUCUAAGUCAGUUUACAGAUAAACUCCGUGAUAUCCGGACUGAUUUGAUCCGCCUGAUCUUCCUUGUCUUGCAUCCCACGUAACCGAUUAGGCUUGGCCCGCACAUCUGGUCGGGCGGGCCCACUUGUCAAGGUCGGGCGUUACCCUGGACGGUGGGGACCCAGGAGGUACCCAUAUCCCUCAAGCCCCGAACGAUGUGUAGGCAAACAGGAACUUGACGACGUUGCAACGAAGCUUGAAAGAGGUCGGCCGAAGGUGUGGCGCCAUCUUUGUGAUGGAGAGGCUGCGUAGUGCUCAAAAAGAAGAAAAACUGAGCUGGCGCAGAGCAAGAUGUGCAGAGCGAAAACGAUUGCCGAGCUUCAGACUUCUAGUAGGUCGAAGAGAAGGACAUGAAAGGCAUCGCAAAACGCACUUCAUAUGGAAUAGCUCCCGAGCAUUAAAGCGAUUAGAAUAAUCGAUCCAAUGGUACAAAAAUCUUGUAUAAUACGCCGUUGUCUUCAUGAUUAGUGUAGCCACGCCGGAGCGAAACCCAUCCCAAUGCGCGCAUCGGCGACCUGAUCAGUUUGCAGUCACGGGUGCACUUCUGUCGGUCCAAAGCGGGAAUCUGGCUGUAGCAGCACGCCCAACAAUAAUGCACUUGCUUUUGUCGUCAGGUAGGGGCGUGCCAAAGCAGGACUGUCCAGGGCCACGCACGAACAGUGCCAACCCUUGGCUAUAAAUACGGGCGCUAUCCCGGAGGCAAAUCACCCUCCACCAGAAGCAUAAAUGAAGCACGAAGAGCUCCUUAUAAUCCUGCUGUACCGGGUCUGGAUCCGACCUCUAGAUAGUUGUAGGGGGGCUUUGUAGUACUUGAUGCUAGAAGAAUGCUUGCGAGUGGCGAAGACGUCGAUGAGCGUCUGCAGGGUCUUCUCUGUGACCGUGUCCGCCCCAAAUGCUUUGGCAGAGCUUGGUGAAGUAGGGCUGUCGAUGGUUCCCAAGGAAACCUAAAGGCUGGGUUCCCCUUCGGGAUGUGCCGCAGUAAUAGUAUAGCCAUGGUGGCCUGAUGCUACAAGAAGGCUUGCGAGGUGCCUAGACACCUUGACGAUCCGGUUAUGGAGUAGCGGGGGCUACCAUGUAAUGCAAAUGCCACCAUGGUGGUGUUUGAUAUCUUUGUUGUGUAAUAUGGUGAAGAGACCAAAGUCUUGUCAUAAUUGCAUGUUUAUGGAAUAAAUCUUCUAGUCCUAAAGAAAGGUGCCCAGCCACCCAAUGUGCGAGAGUGAGGGUUUGACAAAGCCAAAGAGGCACGUCGAUCUGAAUUGAGGCGCCCAGCCCCGAGCGUGUUAGUGCUAGGGUCUGGUAGAGCCGCAGAGGCGCGCCGACCUGGAGUGAGGUGCCCAGCCCCCGAGCGUUGUAACACGAGGGUCUGGCAGGGCCGCGGAGGCGCACCGACCUGGAGAGAGGCACCCAGCCCCCGAGCGUUAUAGCGCAAGGAUAGGGACGUGGAGGCACGCCGACUUGGAGAGAGGCGCCCGGGCCCCGAGCAUUGUAGUGCGAGGGUCUGGCAGAGCCAUAGAGGCACGCCGACCUGAAGAAGUCCGACUUGUCGUGUUUUGUAAAAAAACUUAACAGGGAACCCGCGAACUCUGUCUGCUGAACGUGCCGCGAGUCACGGCUGCCCCGCGGAUUCGGUCCAUUAUCUCCGCGUCCGUUGGGCUAGGGUUAGCCGUUUAGACUUCAAAAACCCAAGAGGCGCAGCUUCUUAUUCAUUACUAUCGUCUUCCUCCUCUAUACUCAUCACGACUGUAGCUGCCGCCGCAGCACCCGAGAGCCUGGGAGAACAUAGAUUGCAACGCCACUCGCAUCCGUCACCGCGCCAUCGCAUGCGAACCAAAACCCUAGCCAUCAUCAAAUCCAAAUCAAUAGGGUUAGAUACCAAAGAGAUGGCGGCGAAGAACAUUCCAGAUCUGUCCGCCAUGUGGAAGAAGCCAGUGAUGAUGGAAGAGCGGAUCCAGGCGCUCGUCGACCGGGGCUGCUAGGGCCCAAGGUGGAGUUGGAGUGGAAGGUGUGCGCCAGUCAGGCGUCCGUCGUCUUCGCCAUCUUCUUCGAGUGCGGAUUUGGGAUCCCCAUCGGAGAUUUCUUCUGCGGGCUGCUACACUGGCACAAGAUAGAGCUGGUACACUCACCCCCAACUCGAUCUUGGAUAUCGCGGUUUUCAUCCAUUUAUGUGAGGCUUUUCUUGGAAUUCCUUCCCACUUCAAUUUGUGCAAGUACUUGUACGUGUCGAAAAAGAUUCCGUCCAAGAACAAAAAGGACAAGGUUGUAGGUAGAUGUGGAUUCUCGCUUCUGCCCGACAGAGGGCAGGAGUAUUUUAACUUGCAGUUGAACGUGACCAGCAAGGGUUGGCACAAAGAAUGGUUCACUAUAGCGAACUAGAAGCUCGAGCUCUAGUUCAACAAUAUCAAAGAGAUUGCCUUCUUAUAUGUACUAAGCAGAAUUUAACCAAUUUAUUCAACAAUAUCAAAGAAAUAUGUUAGCAUUGAACUAGUACAGUCAUGAGCCAUCUAACUAGUACAGAUAAAUAUUGUUCAGAUAUUCGUUGGCAGGUUUUGGGUAGAAAAUAUUUCAGACUCUAUCUUGCUUCUGCAUAUUUAGUCAUGUACCCUCACACAGAGACAACUUUAAGCACAAUGUUUAUGUAUCAAUAAAAAUUUCAGGCUCUAUCUUGCUUCUCUAUCUGUAGGAUAUUUCAGACUCCAUCAUGCUUCUCUAUCGAUAAAAAUUUCUGAACAUCCAACAAAUAGAUGCAUCAAAAUCUGAACACAGAGGCACUUUUUUUCCAUAAAGAGAACAUGGGAGCAUCUGUGGUCAAAAGCUGAACACAGAUGCAUCAAUAUACACAUUCACAGUGCUACGCUGUGCAGGUUUGCCAUUCAAAUUACCAUUUUAUGAAUAGGAUAUAAUUCAGAGUUCACCUCUUCUUACUAUCUGCGGAUCCACGUAAACCUCCCUGUUCCGGCGGCGUUGUUCCACUGAAUUCAGCUCAAGUUAAAAGGCCAUUGGGCCCAUCUGGCCAUCCGGCCACUAAAACAAACCUAUAAAGGUCUAAACCGACCCUUCCCACGCACGCAUGGACCCAGAGGUGAGGAGGGGCGGGCGGGCGGGCGGGCAGCGAGCAAGCUGUGCUGCGGCGGCGGCGGUACUCCCCAAACCCUAAACGCCGCCCUCGCUCUCUCGCCCCAUCCCCACUGCUUCAUCCUCAUCCCUAGACCCGAGCUCCCUCCCCUCCUCACCUGCAGCUAGCCCAUCCGGCGCGGGGCAGCGGCGGAUCUGGCAAGGGGGCGGAUCCGGGGGAAAGGUAUCAAAAUUGCAAGAGAUCUUAUUUGAUUUGAUUUGGAAACGUAUCAAAAUUGCCAGAGAUCUUAUUUGAUUUCUCACUUUCUGUAAUAACACCACGUAAUCCCAGAUCCAAACGGAAGGAAGGACAAGGAGUUUCGUCGUCCCGGCGGCCAUGGCACUUCCUGCCAAGAAGGUGUUGUCUCUCAGCGUGGUGAUAGUCAUCCUCCUCCUCUUCUCUGCUGCAUCAUUCUCCGUGCAUCAUGCACGCAGCAGGAGCUAUGGCAAAAUCCAAAGCACCUGGGAAGAACAGAGGAGUACCCAAGGUGAAGGAAAAUAGAACCCGGGGCGAAGGAAAAUACCGCCUAACCUAUUUCAGAUUUGAAGACUAUUUCAGGAACUACGGCAACAUGCAUAGAACCCGGGGCGAAGGAAAAUAUUAAGCCCAUUUCGUGUUGCUCUGGAAGCACCCGAACGGCGAGGCCAUGGACGACAAGGAUGCGCGGCGUCGCUGGUACGAGUCGUUUCUUCCAAGCACCCUCACCGACUCCGGCGAGCCACGUCUCCUCCACUGCUACACAUUUGACGUCAACGGCUUCAUCGCAUUGCUGACAAGGGCCGAGGCUCUGGUGUUGGCCAACAAGCCAGGAAUUCGGAGAAUGUCUUCGAAUAACAGAUGGUAUAUCUCUUCGAUAGCAAGUUGCGGCUUUGAGACAACAACAGCCAGCACCAAGAGGAGCUUCGUUCGUUCCAGACCGGCAUUCUGAGUUUAAAUCAUUUAUGUGUUGGUGUGCUGGCAUUUUAAUCUCUGUCCGGGCAUGAAGAGUUGGUUGAGUGGGAAAAUAAAUCAUUUGGAAGCUGAUUGUUAUUUGUUGGUUAUUCUUGUUCAAUCUCUGGCCGGGCAUGAUGAUUGGUUCCUUGGUUUAGAUUUAGCCUGGCUACAACCUAAUCAAGGCUAGCUUAAACCAGGCUCUCACUACGGGAAAGCUAAAAAUUGCCGAGUAUUUUUUCUUUGCCGAGUGUUUUUUUUCGAGCACUCGACAAACAAGCUCUUUGCCGAGUGCCAAGCUAAAAACACUUGGCAAAGAAAAAACACUCGGCAAAUCGGGGCUUUGCCGAGUGUCAAAUAAAAAACUCGGCAAACCCUACUCUUUGCCGAGUGUCAAAAAAAAACCACUCGGCAAAGAGGAGACCUGAGUGUUAAAAAAGACACUCGGCAAAGAGGGGGGUUUGCCAAGUGUUUUUCUGACACUCGGCAAAAAAAAAUAAGUUUUUUCCUCUUUUCACCUUGAAAUUUUUUCUACUCCCCACAUACAACAUGUGGUACUCCAUGUUAAAAUUUGGUAUAUUUUUAAAUUUAUUUGCUAUAUUUAUUUAAUUAAUUGUAUUUCAAGGAAAAUUUUGGUAUAAGUCAAAUUUGAACUGCAAGUGAUUCAAAUUAUAUAAUAAAAUGAGUAGAAAAAUGAUAUUCAUGUUAUUUAGCCAAAUUUGAGACAUGACCCACGAAAUGAAAAGAAAUUUUGAACAUUUUGUUCAGGAAACACGACCACGAACGUGUGGUCGAAUGAUUUUUAAAUUGUAAAAAAACAAGCAAAGUCUGAAAAUCAUGAGAUUUGUCAUGAUGUGAUGAUAUCAUACGUGGAGGCUGUGGAAAAAAAUUGAGAAGAUUUCGCACAUUUCGUCACGUACAAUGUUUACAAACCGAAGCAUCUCAGAAGAAGAAUAGUAGCAUUGAGAAGGAUUCAAUAAGAAUUGGAGUUAGAGUGACUAUCGAGUUUUGUUUUGACUACAAAACUUUUUGUACAGGCAGUAGAGAACAUAUAUUGUUUCAUGUGAAAUUUUUGUAAUUUUUUGGAACCGUCUAGAUAAUUUUAAUGUAUUUANNNNNNNNNNNNNNNNNNNNNNNNNNNNNNNNNNNNNNNNNNNNNNNNNNNNNNNNNNNNNNNNNNNNNNNNNNNNNNNNNNNNNNNNNNNNNNNNNNNNNNNNNNNNNNNNNNNNNNNNNNNNNNNNNNNNNNNNNNNNNNNNNNNNNNNNNNNNNNNNNNNNNNNNNNNNNNNNNNNNNNNNNNNNNNNNNNNNNNNNNNNNNNNNNNNNNNNNNNNNNNNNNNNNNNNNNNNNNNNNNNNNNNNNNNNNNNNNNNNNNNNNNNNNNNNNNNNNNNNNNNNNNNNNNNNNNNNNNNNNNNNNNNNNNNNNNNNNNNNNNNNNNNNNNNNNNNNNNNNNNNNNNNNNNNNNNNNNNNNNNNNNNNNNNNNNNNNNNNNNNNNNNNNNNNNNNNNNNNNNNNNNNNNNNNNNNNNNNNNNNNNNNNNNNNNNNNNNNNNNNNNNNNNNNNNNNNNNNNNNNNNNNNNNNNNNNNNNNNNNNNNNNNNNNNNNNNNNNNNNNNNNNNNNNNNNNNNNNNNNNNNNNNNNNNNNNNNNNNNNNNNNNNNNNNNNNNNNNNNNNNNNNNNNNNNNNNNNNNNNNNNNNNNNNNNNNNNNNNNNNNNNNNNNNNNNNNNNNNNNNNNNNNNNNNNNNNNNNNNNNNNNNNNNNNNNNNNNNNNNNNNNNNNNNNNNNNNNNNNNNNNNNNNNNNNNNNNNNNNNNNNNNNNNNNNNNNNNNNNNNNNNNNNNNNNNNNNNNNNNNNNNNNNNNNNNNNNNNNNNNNNNNNNNNNNNNNNNNNNNNNNNNNNNNNNNNNNNNNNNNNNNNNNNNNNNNNNNNNNNNNNNNNNNNNNNNNNNNNNNNNNNNNNNNNNNNNNNNNNNNNNNNNNNNNNNNNNNNNNNNNNNNNNNNNNNNNNNNNNNNNNNNNNNNNNNNNNNNNNNNNNNNNNNNNNNNNNNNNNNNNNNNNNNNNNNNNNNNNNNNNNNNNNNNNNNNNNNNNNNNNNNNNNNNNNNNNNNNNNNNNNNNNNNNNNNNNNNNNNNNNNNNNNNNNNNNNNNNNNNNNNNNNNNNNNNNNNNNNNNNNNNNNNNNNNNNNNNNNNNNNNNNNNNNNNNNNNNNNNNNNNNNNNNNNNNNNNNNNNNNNNNNNNNNNNNNNNNNNNNNNNNNNNNNNNNNNNNNNNNNNNNNNNNNNNNNNNNNNNNNNNNNNNNNNNNNNNNNNNNNNNNNNNNNNNNNNNNNNNNNNNNNNNNNNNNNNNNNNNNNNNNNNNNNNNNNNNNNNNNNNNNNNNNNNNNNNNNNNNNNNNNNNNNNNNNNNNNNNNNNNNNNNNNNNNNNNNNNNNNNNNNNUGUUUAGGUGUAAAUUAAGUGGCGAGUUUACAAGGAAUUCACACACAAGGGAGAAAAAAGUUGUUUGAAUCAAAAAAAAAUGAAAAAAAAUGUUUCCGUUUUGUUUUAUUUAUUCCACUGGAAAAUUAAAAUUUUUUCGCAAGUGGCCGGUUUGGGCCUUUGGGAAAAAAAAAGUUUUUUUGGCCCAAACCCCCCCCCCCCCCCCACGCCCGAGACCGUCCCCCGCGCACCCCUUCUUCUCCACCCCAGCGCGCUCAUCCCCCCUGGCCCCCUCCCCUCCCUCUCCUCCGGUGGGCCACCCCUCGAGACCGGAUCCAGCAGAGGCCAUGGUGGGCGGGGGCCGUGGUGGCCCCCCGGGGCCGGAUCCGGCGGUGGCCGGCCGCCACUCCUUCCCCCGGCGGCCGCCCCCUCCUCGCGCCCCUCCUCAGCGAGAUCCGGGCGGCGGCCCCCUCCUUCUCCCUCUCACCGGCGAGAUCCGGACACCGGCCCCCUCCUCUCCCUCCCCCUCCCUCUCCGGCCGCCCCCUCCCCACCGGCGACAUCCGGCGGCCGGGCCGCCCCCUCCCUCCCUCCCUCCCCCAACGGCGAGAUCCAAGGAGGGGGAGGGAGACGGCGGCGCGCGUGGGCAGGGGCGGAGGGGACGGUGGUGGCGCGGGCCGGGGGAGGGAGACGGCGGUGGCGCGGCGAGAUCCAUGGAGGGGGAGGGAGAUGGCAGCGCGGGCCAGGUGGAGGGACAUGGCGGCACCGCUGGCCAGGAUGAGGGAGAUGGUGGCGAGAUCUAGGGAGGGUUUGGGCAAGUGACGGCGGUGGUGGUGGUGGCCGGCAGUGGCGGCGGUGGCGGCCAGCGACUAUUUUUUUUUAUUUUUUUCUGAAAUUGUUGCCGAGUGUUUUUUGGGCACUCGGCAAAGCUUUUGCCGGGUGCCCAGCAAAAAACACUCGGCAAAGUUUGUUUGCCGGCAGGUUUUUUGACGUGUGCCCACUGCCGAGUGUUACACUCGGCAAAGGGUUCGCCGAGUGUUUUUGCGGCUUUGCCGAGUGCCCUAGGCACUCGGCAAUGUUCCUGUGUCCCGUAGUAUCUAUCAAUGCAGUACACUAGUGCGUUUGUUUGUCUGCGUUGCAUUGCUAGGAUUGUGUUUGGUUGUCUGUAUUGGGCUAGAUGUGGUCACCUUGAGCUGCUAUGGGGUGGAGACGUGGAGUUACCCAAGUAAGGUGUAGUCUCACAGAUUUUGCUUCCAAUGCUAAAAUGGUUGUUACUAGCAAGGUGUUUGUAUAAUCACAUGAAUAACAAGUACUGCCUCCGAUUGAAUUUUCAUGUCGUUAGAACAUGAUUAUUAGCACAAUUUGUGCUAGAUUGUGUGUCCUAACGACAUGAAAAAAAAAUCUGGAGGGAGUAUCAAAUUGCAUCCAGCUAAUCAAAAUGCAUUGAUCUAUUUUUACAGAAAAGAACUGCAGGUGUUCAUCAGUGAGUAAAAGAUUCAUCUGCUUCAGAACUAACAUCAAAUGAUAAGAAAAGAAAUAUACACGAUUCAAGCAAUAUGCUCGGAAUACCAGCAUGUUCCAUUGGCAGGAGCGAUAUCAAAACUUGGAGAAAAAUUUCACCAAAGCCCAGUAAAUAUAUUAAUUUCGAAGUUGAAUGGGUUACAUGAUUCAAGAAACCCAUCCACUUCAUAUUUAUAAAAGAAUCCAAGAACAACCCAAGUGUAAGCCCAGAUUUCCAAUAAUUGAAUAUGGUAAUUGCUACUCAUUUCACCUCUCAAACGGCUUCUUUGUUUAUCCUCUCAACCUAUUUACAAAGCCUGGUCAUUGCUACUCACUAGAUCUAACAAACAAGACAAUGACAUAUUUGCAUCUAUUGGUGGUAUCAAUGACCUGGUAGGCAAGUUGGACUCCCCCCACACAGUAGCUUACUGCAUUCUAUGUAAACCAUCUUCCUUUACAGGGUCAAAAUAUUUGUUUGAGAAAAUGGGUUCAUCUACCUACAUGUAAAAAUAGCAUUGGGUUCCCUUGGAGGAUAUUUGUAGAUACACACAACAGAAGAAGCUAGCGACUUUUGGAGAAUUAAGUGAUCAAAUACAAAUACCUAGAUUGCCUAAUUUGAGGUGACCUCGAAGAACAUGUACUCAAGUCUUAGCUGACAUCCGAGUUUCACCAAUUCACCCAAAAUUUUUUGUGCACUAUUUUGAUGUUUUAUAUAUUGCUUCCAGCCCUCAAAUAAUGUCACACCUUGCACCUCUAAUCAAUCAAACUUUCUAGCAUAGACAAUUGAAAGCCUGAAGUGGCUCAAUGGUAAUCUAUAGCAAACCAUCCCAAUCAGGUAGAUUGUAUAUGACUGAUGCUUUAAUCCUCCAAUAACGACUCGUUAGCAUAAAUCAUUGCAUUAGAAAUGUGAGGAGGAAACAUACGGAGGCCUUGUUGAUGAGGAAGACAGCCUCAUUGGAAGCGCGGAUGGUGUCAUCCUCCGCCCGCAUCAGCUGCCGCACCCACGCCAUUGGGAAGCUGCAGGCGCCUAUGUCGGCCGCAGCCACCUUUUUGUCCUUCUGCUUCUUCUUCACAGGCGUCGGCGCACCCGCCUCCCCUUCGCCGGAGGCUCUCUUGGGGCUCCGCAUCGUCGCGCUUCCUCUUGGUGGGUGUGCUCUUCCCCGUUCCGCCGGGCGCUUGCUGCUUGUCGCGCUUGAUGCUACUAUUCUUUUUCAGGCUUUAGACAAGUGCCAGUUAAAGAAAACAAUCAGUCAGUGCGCUUCCUGGACACCUCGAAUCACCAGGCGAGUCAUAGCUCUAAACUGUGUGAAUAUCCUCAGAAACACUCAAAUAAAAUUUGUCAGGAAUCGGCAGCUGCUGAGCUUGCUGCCAUCAUGGAGUGCCCGGUGGCGGGAUUCCCCCGAAGCUACCUUGGCCUGCCGCUCUCCACAGGGAAGAUCAAUGCCAACGUCCUGGACGGACGCGCUCACCAUCUUUUUUUCUAGAAUACGUAGGAGAGUUGCGUAUCCUUGCAUUAAGAUAGGAGAGAAAAAAAAGAAGCCACACCCUGUUUCCCUGAGCGAUGACGGCGAAAACUGUAGCACUAGUCAAUGGCAGCUCUUCUUCCUUGUGCGUGUUUUCCUCCGAAAGAAACGAGAUGCUGGUCCUUGAUGAGGCCACAGCUAGCGUCCAUCUGACUCAGCCACCAACGCAUCAAGCCUAUCUAGUUUUCAUGGUGCACAGUGAUCACCAUUGACCAUUUACCAUAGCACACAGGGUUUCCUACUGUCACAGACAGUGAUGUGGUCAUGGUUCUUUCCUACGGUAAGCAGCUGCUUCCGAGCAUUUGUAACAUUCUGGCUGAGAUGCAGAUUCACCAACAAGAUGAUAGAGCUUUUCAGAAGUACACGUCCAAUCUUUUUGAAAAGCAACCGGGAAUCUGCUUUCUGUAAGCUCGUCGAUGAGUAUCGAUCCAAGUAUAACUGAAGCUGCAAGUAACCCAGGCAAAUUGUCAGACAGUCAAUUUCAUUGGAGGGACAACACGGGCCGCCUUGUUUAAUUUACAGCAGUUUUACUUAGGAUAGUAGGUCAUAAUCGUAGUGGAAACAAAGAGAUUAUACCAUUGAUUAACUGCAUGAGCAUCUCUACCCAACUUGUCUGGCGCCAGGGCUAGCUUAAGAGAAUCUUUCAGCGGGAAAUUACGCGGUAACUGCCUUUGAUUGGUCAUCAGUGAGGAUCGUCGGUGCACGCCUUUGGCUCUCACAUUUUUUUGCUAUUUGAUUUCUCCUGCUCUGUCAAUACAGAAAGGCAGAAUCCUGCCGGCUCAUUUCAAAGUAAAAUAUAGGAAAGAAAUUACACGGUAACCAUGCAUGAUAACUGGAAAAUCAAACCAGAAUUAAAUGAAGUCAUAUGUGUUUGUCGAGCUCCAGCCUCAGGUGAUCGAUCUUGUCUCGCAUUGUUAGGGGUCAUUUGGUUCCAGGGCUAAACUUUAACCUUUGUCACAUCGAAUAUUUAGAUACUAACUAGGAGUAUUAAACAUAAACUAUUUACAAAACCCAUUGUACGGAUGGAGGCUAAACGGCGAGACGAAUCUAUUAAGCCUAAAUAAUCCAUGAUUACAAUCAGAAGCCAUUUUUUUUGGCUUCUCCUCUCUAGUGUAAGCCGUUUUGCGACUUCUCCCCGGCUUCGGUGGUGGAGCCGUUUUGAAAUUGCUCCUUUGGUAGGGCUUCACUAAAAACCGGUGGAGAAGCACUUUGAGAAGCUCUAUCAAACGGGGCCUAUAUAUACAUGCAAAAAUCUUAGAAAGCCAUAGCAACUUUGAGGUAGUUAAGACUAACAUUUAACAUGCAAAAAAACACAGGUUGAUCCAAAAUGAUUAAGACAGGAAACUGAAAAUCACCAUUUGAAAGACCCUCUGCUUGCACGCCAUCUGCUGCUGCAUCAUCUUGAUCUCCAUCUGCUCCUUGGCCAUCGGCAGCAGGUACUUCAGUUCGUCCAUCUCUAUCUUGAUCACCUAUGACAUUGAACACAUGCAACAAAAAAAAUUCAGAUCAUGCGCAGAAGGAAGACACAACACAUCGUGGAUCAUGGUUAACUAAUCACUUUGAUAUUCAUCAUUCCACGCCAUGUCAUAAUCGAGUUCAUUGGCAUCCCACUCCCCUAUGUCAUCCCAACCUACGGGAUUAUCUAAGGCUGAUUCUAGUGGAUUUUGGUUCAAGUCGAUCUCUAGCCCGGGCAUUGUUGGUGCGCUACAACAUGAAUGAGAGAUAGAGAGAGAUGGAAGGAAAGGAGCCUGGCGCUUAUUUACGAAGGGAUGUCUGUCGAUGGGCACUUGGGUGGCAAAAGAAAUUUGCUAGAAAUUUUCUUUUCAGUUUUGGUUGCAAUGACUGAAACCGAAGAAAAAUGUACGACGCGAGAUUUCUGGCGACUGAAACUGAACGGCAUCGCGUGGGAAAGAAGAAAAGGAAAGGACGACAAUGGCGCGCGCGAGAUUUCUAGCGACUGAAACUGAAAGGCAUUGAGCGGUAAGGAAAGGAGCGUGGCGCGCGGGGUAAACGACGUUUGGAGUGGGAUUAGCAACGUAUUUACUCGGUAACUCAAGAGUCAUCGGCGGAGUUAAAGGAAAGCAGCGAAUUAAUAGCAAACGGGACGACUCAAACGAUUCCGAUAAAUGGACGGAGGGAGUAACAACUUUGAACUGCCUUGCACACGAAGUAGUAAAGCUUUGAAGCGAGGUAAAUGCAUGCAUGGAGAUUUGACCCUGUAAAUGCAUGUAGAGUUUAAUUAAGUAAAAUCUGAGCACAUGCAUGCAUGCAUCUGUGCACCGUACACGUAGCAAGUCGUUGAACAGAAAAAAGUGAGAAGCUCUGCUGAGACGUCGCUUUCACCUGGUGCAAAGUCAGAAACGACACAUGCCGGGGAGUGCACGCGGUGCACCGCGCACGCCAUCCGAUGCUGGCCACUCCACCUAUCUGCAGGGCAAUGUCAAUAACUUCUCCAGAGCACUUAUCAGCAGGGUGCCCUAAUUUAAAAAAUGUCAGCUCGAUCGGCACCCCCGGCUAUAAAACCCCGUCCAUCGAUGCUGGAUCGUCCAACACCACGAGCUCGAUCAAGCACAAGGUCUUCGAUCAACAGGUGUGGUAGUAGCAAGCAGUAGCGAGUCCGAUCCUCGGGUAAGAAGCGGCGGGAGGUUGAAGAAGAAGCUAGCUAGCUAGCUAGAGGUAGAGAGUGCCAUGGCCAGCGUGCACGAGGUGACCGGGCGUGAGCCGACGUUCUCCUUCUCCACGGAGGAUGCUGGGCGCCCCGAUGCGGAGAACGCGGCGGCGGCGAGGUUCCACCUGCCGGUGGACUCGGAGCACAAGGCCAAGUCCAUCCGCAUCUUCUCCAUGGCCAACCCGCACAUGCGCACCUUCCACCUCUCCUGGAUGUCCUUCUUCACCUGCGUCGUCUCCACCUUCGCCGCCGCGCCGCUCAUCCCCAUCAUCCGCCAGAACCUCAACCUCACCAAGUCCGACAUCGGCAACGCCGGCGUCGCCUCCGUCUCCGGCGCCAUCUUCUCGCGCCUCGCCAUGGGCGCCGUCUGCGACCUCCUCGGCCCGCGCUACGGCUGCGCCUUCGUCAUGAUGCUCGCCGCUCCCCCCGUCUUCUGCAUGGCCGUCAUCGACAGCGCCGCCGGUUACAUCACCAUCCGCUUCCUCAUCGGCGUCUCCCUCGCCACGUUCGUCUCGUGCCAGUACUGGACCAGCACCAUGUUCAACAUCAAGAUCAUCGGGACGGUGAACGCGCUGGCGUCGGGCUGGGGCGACAUGGGCGGCGGCGCCACGCAGCUCAUCAUGCCCUUCGUCUACGAGGGCAUCCUCAAGUGCGGCGUGUCCCCGUUCGAGGCGUGGCGCAUCGCCUACUUCGUCCCGGGGCUCAUGCACGUGGUCAUGGGCAUCCUCGUGCUCACUACCGGGCAGGACCUCCCCGACGGCAACCUCCGCAACCUCCAGAAGCAGGGCGACGCCAACAAGGACAACUUCUCCAAGGUGUUCAUGCACGCCGUCACCAACUACCGCACCUGGGUCUUCGUCUUCAUCUACGGCUACAGCAUGGGCGUGCAGCUCACCACCACCAACAUCAUCGCCGAGUACUACUACGACCAGUUCGACCUCAACAUCCGCGUCGCCGGCAUCAUCGCCGCCUGCUUCGGCAUGGCCAACCUCGUGUCGCGCCCCCUCGGUGGCGUCCUCUCCGACCUCGGCGCGCGCUACUGGGGCAUGCGCGCCCGCCUCUGGAACAUCUGGAUCCUCCAGACCGCCGGCGGCGCAUUCUG
This 34675-nucleotide long non-coding RNA is filed under the name Setaria italica (foxtail millet). Its description in RNAcentral is "long non-coding RNA (SITA_LNC000221)". Lineage: Eukaryota; Viridiplantae; Streptophyta; Magnoliopsida; Poales; Poaceae. The record is from RNAcentral.